Molecule: ribosomal RNA, 790 nt
Filed under: uncultured beta proteobacterium
Lineage: Bacteria; Pseudomonadati; Pseudomonadota; Betaproteobacteria
Description: bacterial SSU rRNA
Rfam family: Bacterial small subunit ribosomal RNA
Source: RNAcentral
ACGCUGGCGGCAUGCCUUACACAUGCAAGUCGAACGGCAGCACGGGAGCAAUCCUGGUGGCGAGUGGCGAACGGGUGAGUAAUAUAUCGGAACGUGCCCAGUCGUGGGGGAUAACUACUCGAAAGAGUGGCUAAUACCGCAUACGAUCUAAGGAUGAAAGCGGGGGACUCGUAAGGGCCUCGCGCGAUUGGAGCGGCCGAUAUCAGAUUAGGUAGUUGGUGGGGUAAAAGCCCACCAAGCCUGCGAUCUGUAGCUGGUCUGAGAGGACGACCAGCCACACUGGAACUGAGACACGGUCCAGACUCCUACGGGAGGCAGCAGUGGGGAAUUUUGGACAAUGGGCGCAAGCCUGAUCCAGCAAUGCCGCGUGCAGGACGAAGGCCUUCGGGUUGUAAACUGCUUUUGUACGGAACGAAAAGGUCAUUAAUAACACUAGUGGCUGAUGACGGUACCGUAAGAAUAAGCACCGGCUAACUACGUGCCAGCAGCCGCGGUAAUACGUAGGGUGCGAGCGUUAAUCGGAAUUACUGGGCGUAAAGCGUGCGCAGGCGGUUAUAUAAGACAGAUGUGAAAUCCCCGGGCUCAACCUGGGAACUGCAUAUGUGACUGUAUAGCUAGAGUACGGUAGAGGGGGAUGGAAUUCCGCGUGUAGCAGUGAAAUGCGUAGAUAUGCGGAGGAACACCGAUGGCGAAGGCAAUCCCCUGGACCUGUACUGACGCUCAUGCACGAAAGCGUGGGGAGCAAACAGGAUUAAAUACCCUGGUAGUCCACGCCCUAAACGAUGUCAAC